UUUGCGCAGUCGCGGUUAACUUAAUGUUAGCUGAGGAAAGUCCACGCACGCACAAGCUGAGAUGCUUGUAGUGAUCGUAUUCAGACCAAUAAGCUGGAGGAUUUUUAUAAUUACGGCGGAAAAAGUGCUAAAUCCUUUGGACAAGCAUUAAUAUCCUGAAAAGUGCCACAGUGACGAAGUAAAAUUGGAAACAAUUUUAGUGGAACGAGGUAAACCCUGCGAGCGUGUAACCCAAAUUUGGUAGGGGCGUCUGGUUUAAGGAAAUGAACGAUGAACCAGGUUAUUGCUAAUUAGCAAUAAAGAUAGAUGGCUGCACAAGGUAGUAUUUACCAAUGCUACUGGAACAAAACGUGGCUUAUAG
Molecule: RNase P RNA, 361 nt
Filed under: Candidatus Lactobacillus pullistercoris
Lineage: Bacteria; Bacillati; Bacillota; Bacilli; Lactobacillales; Lactobacillaceae
Description: Bacterial RNase P class B
Rfam family: Bacterial RNase P class B
About the family: Ribonuclease P (RNase P) is a ubiquitous endoribonuclease, found in archaea, bacteria and eukarya as well as chloroplasts and mitochondria. Its best characterised activity is the generation of mature 5'-ends of tRNAs by cleaving the 5'-leader elements of precursor-tRNAs. Cellular RNase Ps are ribonucleoproteins.
Source: RNAcentral